Long non-coding RNA from Aegilops tauschii subsp. strangulata, 509 nucleotides. RefSeq lists it as uncharacterized. The record is from RefSeq and is a predicted model, not a curated record. NCBI's taxonomy places the organism in Eukaryota, Viridiplantae, Streptophyta, Magnoliopsida, Poales, Poaceae.
CGCCCCCGUCCCCCCGCCGGCCCCCGCCCCCGUCGCCUCCGUUCGGCCCCGUCCGCCUCCAUCCCACCGCCGGCCGCCGCCCCAGUAGCCUCCAUCCGCCCCCGUCCGCCUCCAUCCCUACGACGUCGCCACACCUGUCACCCCCUCCCGUUCGUCCUCCGCCGGUGUCGCAAGGCCGGGCGAUGGACGGAGACGGCUUCGAUGUGUGGGGUUCGCAGCCGUCGGCAAGCGGCCCCGCUACCCAGGCCGGUCUUGACCUCAACUCGCAAGCAAGCUAGAAUUAUUGUUGCUUGCAUGUUCAUAAUUUCAUUCGAGAGAGCAGAAUUGCUGAUAGGGAAUUUGAUGCAUGUGAUGCGGAUGAAAAUUAUAACCCAAUGCCUAGUUCUUAUGCAUCUGCAUGGCCAGAAGACGAACCUCUUGCUGAAGAUAUCAACAUGAAUGCCUUCCGUGAUGAGUUAGCUAAUGCGCUGUUUCAUGGAAUGUAAUUUUAUUUUGUCAAGCUUGACUGA